UACGUAGGGGGCAAGCGUUGUCCGGAAUUAUUGGGCGUAAAGAGCGUGUAGGCGGUCCGGUAAGUCAGCUGUGAAAGUCAAGGGCUCAACCCUUGAAAGCCGGUUGAUACUGUCGGGCUAGAGUCCGGAGGAGGCGAGUGGAAUUCCCGGUGUAGUGGUGAAAUGCGUAGAUAUCGGGAGGAACACCAGUGGCGAAGGCGACUACCUGGCCUGUUUCUUGACGCUGAGGCGCGAAAGCUAGGGGAGCAAACGGG
This 254-nucleotide ribosomal RNA is filed under the name uncultured bacterium. RNAcentral's name for it is "partial 16S ribosomal RNA". It matches the Rfam family "Bacterial small subunit ribosomal RNA", at positions 524 to 776 of the family's 1533-position model. The record is from RNAcentral.